RNAcentral lists this ribosomal RNA (722 nucleotides) under Bacillus sp. (in: firmicutes). RNAcentral's name for it is "bacterial SSU rRNA". It matches the Rfam family "Bacterial small subunit ribosomal RNA", at positions 112 to 819 of the family's 1533-position model. Lineage: Bacteria; Bacillati; Bacillota; Bacilli; Caryophanales; Bacillaceae. The record is from RNAcentral.
AACACGUGGGUAACCUGCCUGUAAGACUGGGAUAACUCCGGGAAACCGGGGCUAAUACCGGAUGGUUGUUUGAACCGCAUGGUUCAAACAUAAAAGGUGGCUUCGGCUACCACUUACAGAUGGACCCGCGGCGCAUUAGCUAGUUGGUGAGGUAACGGCUCACCAAGGCAACGAUGCGUAGCCGACCUGAGAGGGUGAUCGGCCACACUGGGACUGAGACACGGCCCAGACUCCUACGGGAGGCAGCAGUAGGGAAUCUUCCGCAAUGGACGAAAGUCUGACGGAGCAACGCCGCGUGAGUGAUGAAGGUUUUCGGAUCGUAAAGCUCUGUUGUUAGGGAAGAACAAGUACCGUUCGAAUAGGGCGGUACCUUGACGGUACCUAACCAGAAAGCCACGGCUAACUACGUGCCAGCAGCCGCGGUAAUACGUAGGUGGCAAGCGUUGUCCGGAAUUAUUGGGCGUAAAGGGCUCGCAGGCGGUUUCUUAAGUCUGAUGUGAAAGCCCCCGGCUCAACCGGGGAGGGUCAUUGGAAACUGGGGAACUUGAGUGCAGAAGAGGAGAGUGGAAUUCCACGUGUAGCGGUGAAAUGCGUAGAGAUGUGGAGGAACACCAGUGGCGAAGGCGACUCUCUGGUCUGUAACUGACGCUGAGGAGCGAAAUCGUGGGGAGCGAACACGAUUAGAUACCCUGGUAGUCCACACCGUAAACGAUGAGUGCUAA